RNAcentral lists this non-coding RNA (48 nucleotides) under Trichobilharzia regenti. Lineage: Eukaryota; Metazoa; Platyhelminthes; Trematoda; Strigeidida; Schistosomatidae. The record is from RNAcentral.
AUCCAGUUGGCGAGUCCCAAAUAGGACGAAAUGCGCGUUGUGCUGAAU